CAUAAUUAAGCUUUACAAGAAGUGGAAACUUAACUUAUAUUUGGCUUGUGCUUUAGCUUUUAUUUCAAUAGUUCUUUAACUUUGUUUUCCCAUAGUAAUUCCCAACAGAUAUCUACACUCUGAAAUGGAGCCUACUGAAUCUGUGCCAAAACGAAGAAGACAGAUGUAUUGAUAUCACUACUUAAGUCAGCCAAAAGAUUUUGGUUGACUGCAGGGUACAGGUGUGAGAAUGAAGACACUGCAUAUCUGCCAGUCUGCCUCCUCUCCAUGAUUAAUGGCCUUGCACUUUCUGCUGCCUCUUGCAACUCAUACCUCAUAACUCCCGAGGGAAGGAGACAACAGUCAAUAACUACUCCGUAUCUCCAGAAUUUAUCUGACGGAAUGAUUGGAAGAAAUCUAUGGACCUUAAAGACGAAGAGAAUUUCCGUUCCUGGAUGUUAUCUACAGAUAGAAGUUAAAUCCCUGUGAGAUCACCGGACAAAGCUCCCACUGACUUCAAAGAUUGGUAAAUGCCAAAAGUUCAUAUGCUGUUUCCAGACAUUCACCGUAACAGACCCUACAUGUAUAUUCACAUGUAAAGAAUGCUAACACUGAAACCUCUGGGAAGAGAAAUACACCCCUGGUGCUGUGAUCCCGCCCUUCUUGUUACUCCUAGCAGUAGGUACCUUACUACCUCCCAGGAGACAUAAGCUCCUAAACACUUCUAGAGAGACAAGUGGAGCUUUGGAAACCGAUUCCAACAGACUACAAGCAUGGAUCUCAGGGUUUUGAUCAGGCCUGUUUGUAAAGUGUUGUUUCAAGCGUUGCUGUCCUUCAGCUGAAGAACAUUACAGCAAAGAGGGUGGAGUUAUACUCACUCAGGGGGUAGAGCUCCUUCAGUCUCCUUAAUUCAUUGUCCUUUCCUAUAAAUUUUGCUGGUAGUAUCAAUGGUAACAUUCACAACUAGAAGAGACCAUCAGCUAUUUGUUCCUUUUAUUCUAUUCAAAGUAAACUGAAAAUCUGGCAGCUGUAUAUAGUCACUUCCUUACCUUUUUGCCCCUUACUCAGAACUGGCUCAGCGGUUGCAAGAGUAAGAAACAUAGCACUGCCCAGAAAGGUACAAGUAAGAGAGUUUUAAAAAAGCCUCAGGCCAAAGUCAUUACAUUUCACUGAAUGUACUGGGAUUGUGGAGUGUAACAGAGCAGCAACUAGGUCGCUAGGAGGUGGAACAACUACUUCUCUUAGAGAAAGGCAACUCUUUACCAUGCAGUUGUUGCUUAGUGCCUAUGCCUUAGUGAAACACUCAGGUCUCUCAAAAAAUCCUCAAGGGUAAAAUGUAUGCUGCUAUGGAGUAUGAUGCUUACAAUGAUGAUUUAUUAGUAGUGCAUCUGUUUUUUUCUUUAUAAGACUCAGAACCCAAGAGGACAGUUUCAGAUUAUUCCAAAUCCCACUAUUUCAAUGCUAAUUACUAAAAAUGCAGGAGCAACGCACUUCCUCUGCUUGGACCAUCUGGCAAAUUUCUCAGCUUUGCAGUUUGCUGGUCUUCAGAGUUACCCCACAAGUUAUAGGAAAAAAAAUAUUUCUGAACUCUCUAAGAGUAACAUUAUUAGUUAACAUGUUUGAAAGAACAGAAUAGAAAUGCAGAG
Gallus gallus (chicken) is the source of this 1625-nucleotide long non-coding RNA. The record is from Ensembl. Lineage: Eukaryota; Metazoa; Chordata; Aves; Galliformes; Phasianidae.